CAGUCGCCACGGUAACACCGAGGGUGCGAGCGUUAAUCGGAUUUACUGGGCGUAAAGCGUGCGUAGGCGGCUUCUUAAGUCGGAUGUGAAAUCCCUGAGCUUAACUUAGGAAUUGCAUUCGAUACUGGGAAGCUAGAGUAUGGGAGAGGAUGGUAGAAUUCCAGGUGUAGCGGUGAAAUGCGUAGAGAUCUGGAGGAAUACCGAUGGCGAAGGCAGCCAUCUGGCCUAAUACUGACGCUGAGGUACGAAAGCAUGGGGAGCAAACAGGAUUAGAUACCCGUGUAGUCCCUGUCUCUUAUAC
This 301-nucleotide ribosomal RNA is filed under the name uncultured bacterium. RNAcentral describes it as "partial 16S ribosomal RNA". It matches the Rfam family "Bacterial small subunit ribosomal RNA", at positions 509 to 807 of the family's 1533-position model. The record is from RNAcentral.